AGACCCGAAACCCGGUGAUCUAGCCAUGGGCAGGUUGAAGGUUGGGUAACACUAACUGGAGGACCGAACCGACUAAUGUUGAAAAAUUAGCGGAUGACCUGUGGCUGGGGGUGAAAGGCCAAUCAAACCGGGAGAUAGCUGGUUCUCCCCGAAAGCUAUUUAGGUAGCGCCUCGUGAACUCAUCUCCGGGGGUAGAGCACUGUUUCGGCUAGGGGGCCAUCCCGGCUUACCAACCCGAUGCAAACUGCGAAUACCGGAGAAUGUUAUCACGGGAGACACACGGCGGGUGCUAACGUCCGUCGUGAAGAGGGAAACAACCCAGACCGCCAGCUAAGGUCCCAAAGUCAUGGUUAAGUGGGAAACGAUGUGGGAAGGCCCAGACAGCCAGGAUGUUGGCUUAGAAGCAGCCAUCAUUUAAAGAAAGCGUAAUAGCUCACUGGUCGAGUCGGCCUGCGCGGAAGAUGUAACGGGGCUAAACCAUGCACCGAAGCUGCGGCAGCGACACUGUGUGUUGUUGGGUAGGGGAGCGUUCUGUAAGCCGUUGAAGGUGUCCUGUGAGGGGUGCUGGAGGUAUCAGAAGUGCGAAUGCUGACAUAAGUAACGAUAAAGCGGGUGAAAAGCCCGCUCGCCGGAAGACCAAGGGUUCCUGUCCAACGUUAAUCGGGGCAGGGUGAGUCGACCCCUAAGGCGAGGCCGAAAGGCGUAGUCGAUGGGAAACGGGUUAAUAUUCCCGUAC
This 736-nucleotide ribosomal RNA is filed under the name Salmonella enterica. Its description in RNAcentral is "partial 23S ribosomal RNA". It matches the Rfam family "Bacterial large subunit ribosomal RNA", at positions 711 to 1444 of the family's 2925-position model. The record is from RNAcentral. Lineage: Bacteria; Pseudomonadati; Pseudomonadota; Gammaproteobacteria; Enterobacterales; Enterobacteriaceae.